Long non-coding RNA from Ostrea edulis (European flat oyster), 2353 nucleotides. RefSeq lists it as uncharacterized. The transcript has 2 exons. The record is from RefSeq and is a predicted model, not a curated record. Lineage: Eukaryota; Metazoa; Mollusca; Bivalvia; Ostreida; Ostreidae.
CUCUCUCUCUCUCUCACCUGGGGUUAGCAUGUGUAACUGUUCGUGGGAGCGGUGCAUCUUUCCACUUCUUUUCCUGAAAUCCAUAUAAAACAAUAUAAGUUCUGUGAUGUAUUAUAAAGAUAAUGAAGUUUAUCAUAUCAUCUAGGACAAAAUCUGGGUUGAAAUAUACCUCUUUGUAAUAGGAAUAAACGGUAACUGGAGACUUAACGUUCCUCCCCAUCCCACAUUUACUGGGGAAAAGGGGGGUGGGGUUAAAACGUGGAACGAAUCUAUGAAAUGAUGUUAUGAGAAGGUCAGCGUUUAGUAAAAUUAAAAGGUUUAUUGUAAACAAAGGAAGCAGAAAUUACUGAUGGAAGGGAGAGUCACCCACAAUAUCCACCGCCUCAUAUGCCCACAAUAUCCACCGCUUCAUAUACCUUGAUAAAUUGCAAAAAAAAUUGUUCUGAUUGGUGCUUGAACGUCAAUAUUGAUAAAACUAAAGUUUUAAUCUUUAAUAAAGCAGGAAGAUUUCUCAAGCAAAAAUUUUAUUUUGGAGAAAAGGGAAAUACAGUGUGUCCCCUCUUACAGAUAUUUGGGAAUAUAUUUCAAUACAGCUGGACAUUUUUCUAAUGCUUAAGAGGAUCUGUACAAAAAGGCAAUGAAAGCAUAUUUCAAAUUACAUAAAGAUUUUUUAUCAUUACAACCUAGCACUAAAACACCCCUUCAUGUCUUUGAUCACACAAUCAAGCCAAUAUUACUCUAUGGCAGUGAGAUUUGGGGAAUUUUUAAUCGCCCUUCUUUUUUCAAUCGCAAUGAUAUCUCUUUAUAUGAUUUUUACUCUAAAUCAAAAUGUGAAAACCUCCAUGUGAAAUUCUGUAAAUUCAUUCUAGGUCUUCAUAGAAAAAGCUCAAACUUUGCAACACUAUCCAAACUUGGCAGGUUUCCACUACAUUUUGAUGUGAAAAAUAUAAUACAAUAUGUAAACAGAUUAGAAAAUCUGGGUACUUCUUUUCCUCUACUAAAUGUUGCAUAAAUGCAAAGUAAGCGUAAUGCUUGUACAUUAAAAUCGCAGUCAUGGUAUGGUGUCGUACAAAAGUUAUUUGGAAUUGUUGGAAUUAGAAACAAUCAUAUUGCAAUCAAUAACCUAUAAUUUUUUAAGAAAAAAUGUAAGGAAUUGUUAUGCCAUCAUUAUUUGAAAGAAUGGGGAUAUGUCAGAAGUUUACAAUAUGGAAAACUUGAAACUUAUGUUAAAUUUAAAACUAAUUUUGUUUUUGAAAACUACCUAACACUCUUACCACCUGUACAACGUAAAGCACUUACAAGAUUACGUACAUCAGCGCACAAUUUACCAGUAGAACGAGGUCGUUAUACAGGAAUCCCUAGACAUUUAAGAUUUUGUACAAAGUUUUCUUGUAAAAUUGGUGAUGAAAUUCAUCUAAUUUUUGAAUGUUUAACUUAUAACUCACUCAGACAGAACAUGUAUAAAAUUAUAAAACAACAAUGUGAACAUUUUUCCAGUCUUGACAACAUGAAUAGAUUAAUAUGGUUACUCAAUAUUGUGAAAAUACUGAUGUACUUGUAGCCCUUUGGGAUUUGAUUAAAGAAGCAAUAUAAAAUGAAUCAUGUGAAAGUUCAAACCAAUAUGUUUAUACAUAAUUAUGCACCCAUUGUAAACAUGACAUGUUGACUUAGUACCAAUGCACCGUCCCGUGGUAUCUUUCGCAUUACAGUCAGUCAUAUGUACUUGUACUAGGUGUCUUUUACUAUUAUUAUGUGUCAUUGCAUAUAUUGUUAUUAUUUUCUUCCUGUGUGCAUUUCUGACUGUUUUGCAUUAGGAUACACGGUGGUACUUACAUAUAUUACAUCAAGUAAUGUCUCGUGUUAUGUACAUUGUCUAAGCUCAUACUACUAGUAUUACUGUAUAUCAUGUGUGAACCAUAUGAAACCAUAUUUGCACAUAUGCACUCAUUAUAAUCAUGCCAUGUUGACCUAGUACCAAUACACCGUCCCGUGGUAUCUUUUCCAUUACAGUGGAGUAUUAAUCAUGUGUACUUAUACUACCUUUACUAUUAUUAAAUGUAGUGUUGUUAUGUACAUGUAUAUAUUUUUAUUUUAUUUUUUCUGUGUGUAUUUCUGACUGUUUUGCAUUAGGAUACACGGUGUUACUUACAUGUAAUACAAAUAAGUAUUAUCAUAUUCAAAAUGUCUCAUGUAUGAACAUUGCUCAUAUUAAUAGUGCAUAUUUUGCUCUUGUUUUGUUCUUUUCUUUUUAUCAUAAUUUUUUUAAAAUAAACAUUGCACAUUGAAAUGUUAACAAUCAUGUAUGCUGUAUGCCCGAAAGGGCCCUAAUUUGGAAAUAAAUCAUAUUCUGUUC